RNA transcript from Eucalyptus grandis, 1311 nucleotides. RefSeq lists it as uncharacterized. The record is from RefSeq and is a predicted model, not a curated record. The transcript is spliced from 2 exons. NCBI's taxonomy places the organism in Eukaryota, Viridiplantae, Streptophyta, Magnoliopsida, Myrtales, Myrtaceae.
CAAAAUAAAAAAGGGGACUCUCUGGCGGGAGGCUCUCUUUUCUCUCUCUCUCGGAUUCUCUCCGACGGGGGCUCUCUCUUUCGCAUUCGGGGGGCUCGCAUUCUCUGUGUGGACUCCCGCUCGCUCGAUCAUCAUCGUUCUUUCUCUCUGUAACUGCUCGAUGGAGCUUCCAUGGCAGAUCUCGAAACCCUAGCCUCGGGCAAUCUCGGUAGAGAUCCGCCAUUCCUCGGGGGAAAAUCUCCGCCUCGCGCGCUGUCCACCAGAGGAAACUUCCGCCUCCGUCUCCAGCGUUUCUCCGUCGAGCGAGUCGAAGGCUAGGGUUUUCUCUCAUUAGCGAGGAUCGGAGAUCAAAGGCCGGCAGUCGGGGAUUGCGAGAGGAGUUCAGUUUCGUUCUCGUUCUACCGGUUCUCACUCGGCAGAUCCCUCUUUUUCUCUCAAUCGCUCUCUCUCUGGCUCUGGGGAUUUGAUUCUUUCUCGGAGGUAGGAUCGCUCGGUCGAAGGAAAUUCUCUCUCGGUUCUGGCUCUCGCUCGCUCUCUUGAACUCGAUCGGAGGUAGGAUCGCUCGAUCAAAGGAGGUUUUCUCUCAGUUCUGGCUCUCGCUCUCUCUCUGGAGUUCGAUCGGUGACUCUCUCGAUCGGGGAUUCUCUCGCCGGAUCUGACUGGCCGGAUCGGCGUCUCUCCCUCUCGAUUGCUCUCUCGCGCGUCGGAUCUGACUCGCUGGGGCGGUCGGUCGAGGAGCUCGAAGCACAGGGCUCAGAUUCGCGUCGACAGCAGUGGCGACGACAGUAUCGACGGUAGCGGUGGUGGCAGCGACAGCAGCGGUGGUGACGGCUUCCCAUCGUUUCUUUAUUCUGCUUUUCUGAUCUCGCCAUCUUCGUGUGGUCCAAUCCAGAGGAACCGCCUCAGCUGGUAGCCGAAGCGUAAACCCCCAGAUGCUACGUAAGCGGGAGGACCCACCACCCCUGGCAGCACACUUAAGUCACCAAGUAACUCCAUUAGAGCCUUUGCUUCGCAAAGGUUUCGAACUCCUCACCUCUCUCGCAAAGGUUCACUGAAGCCUAUUCAGCGGAGCCACCACGGCCGGUGGUUCACAAUUUUAAUAGUUCAUAGGAUACCUUUGUGAAAAAAUACUUUGCAUCAAAGUUGUUUAGCCUAUUGUUUAGCAUUUCUUUAUGACUUGACAUGAUUUUCGGAAGUUGCGAGUUUUGGGUAUCACAUGAAUUACAUAUUGACUGCCUUUUUCUUCAUGAAUAUACAUGUUGCAUGAACAUGUUCAAUGAUGCAUAUGUUUAGUAAGUGAUCCUUCGUCAA